This 543-nucleotide ribosomal RNA is filed under the name Dindymus lanius. RNAcentral's name for it is "partial 16S ribosomal RNA". The stretch from base 404 to 543 matches the Rfam family "Bacterial large subunit ribosomal RNA", at positions 2473 to 2612 of the family's 2925-position model. Lineage: Eukaryota; Metazoa; Arthropoda; Insecta; Hemiptera; Pyrrhocoridae. The record is from RNAcentral.
AAAAACAUGUCUUAUAGUAUAUUAAUUUUAAGUUUAACCUGCUCAAUGAAUUUUUUUAAAUUGCUAUAGUAUUUUGACUAUACAAAGGUAGCAUAAUAAUUUGUCUUUUAAUUGGAGGCUUGUAUGAAUGGUUGGACGAGAGAUAAUCUUUCUUAAUUUAAAUUUGAUUUUGAAUUUAGCAUUUUUGUAAAAAGGCUUAAAUGUAGUUGUGGGACGAGAAGACCCUUUAGAAUUUUAAUAGUUAUAUUAAAAUAUUAAUGUAGUUAUAUUAGAUAAUAUUUUAAUUAUUUUAUUUUUGUUGGGGUGAUAGUAGAAAAGAUUUAACUUCUAUUAAAUUAAUUUUUCAUUAAUUAAUGUGUUAAUGAUCCUGUUUAUAUGGAUUAAAAGAUUAAAUUACCUUAGGGAUAACAGCGUUAUUAUUUUGGAGAGUUCAUAUUGAUGAAAUAGUUUGCGACCUCGAUGUUGGAUUAAAGUUAGUUUUAUAGUGCAGAAGCUUAAUAACUAGGUCUGUUCGACCUUUAAAUCUUUACAUGAUCUGAGUUC